GCCGGAAGCAGGCAUUCUGAUUCUCACAGGAUGCAUCAGUGGUGCAGUGCAGCUCCUAUGACACUGGCUUCACAGCAAAGACAUCCAAGUUCAUAAAACUGCGCCUCGAACGUAUGAGUCUGAUGCUAUUAACUGUUAGCAAAGCAGGAGAGCACAGAGAACCAACUUGUGACACAGCAUGCAAUUUUCUAAGGAAUGAAAGGAGAAAAAUUAGAAAUUCAGGGACAAGGGGCCUGAGGAAGGAGCA
Molecule: long non-coding RNA, 247 nt
Filed under: Fukomys damarensis (Damara mole-rat)
Lineage: Eukaryota; Metazoa; Chordata; Mammalia; Rodentia; Bathyergidae
Description: lncRNA (ENSFDAG00000026406.1)
Source: RNAcentral